UGAGGAAUAUUGGUCAAUGGGCGAGAGCCUGAACCAGCCAAGUAGCGUGCAGGAUGACGGCCCUAUGGGUUGUAAACUGCUUUUAUGUGGGGAUAAAGUGCGUGACGUGUCAUGCAUUGCAGGUACCACAUGAAUAAGGACCGGCUAAUUCCGUGCCAGCAGCCGCGGUAAUACGGAAGGUCCGGGCGUUAUCCGGAUUUAUUGGGUUUAAAGGGAGCGUAGGCUGUCUAUUAAGCGUGUUGUGAAAUGUAGAUGCUCAACAUCUGACUUGCAGCGCGAACUGGCUGACUUGAGUACACACAACGUAGGCGGAAUUCAUGGUGUAGCGGUGAAAUGCUUAGAUAUCAUGAAGAACUCCGAUUGCGAAGGCAGCUUACGGGAGUGUUACUGACGCUUAAGCUCGAAGGUGCGGGUAUCGAACAGG
RNAcentral lists this ribosomal RNA (424 nucleotides) under Verrucomicrobiota bacterium. Its description in RNAcentral is "Verrucomicrobia bacterium partial 16S ribosomal RNA". It matches the Rfam family "Bacterial small subunit ribosomal RNA", at positions 355 to 776 of the family's 1533-position model. Lineage: Bacteria; Pseudomonadati; Verrucomicrobiota. The record is from RNAcentral.